GGAGGGUCCAAGCGUUAUCCGGAUUCAUUGGGUUUAAAGGGUGCGCAGGUGGGGAUGUAAGUCAGUGGUGAAAUACUGCCGCUCAACGGUAGAACUGCCAUUGAUACUGCAUCUCUUGAGUAUGGUUGAGGUAGGCGGAAUGUGUUGUGUAGCGGUGAAAUGCAUAGAUAUAACACAGAACGCCGAUUGCGAAGGCAGCUUACUAAGCCAUUACUGACACUGAGGCACGAAAGCGUGGGUAGCGAACAGGAUUAGAUACCCUGGUAGUCCACGCCGUAAACGAUGUUCACUCGCUGUUUGCGAUAUACAGCAAGCGGCUUAGCGAAAGCAUUAAGUGAACCACCUGGGGAGUACGAUCGCAAGGUUGAAACUCAAAGGAAUUGACGGGGGCCCGCACAAGCGGAGGAACAUGUGGUUUAAUUCGAUGAUACGCGAGGAACCUUACCUGGGCUUAAAUGUAGGUUGCAUAACUUAGAAAUAGGUUUUCCCUUCGGGGCUACUUACAAGGUGCUGCAUGGUUGUCGUCAGCUCGUGCCGUGAGGUGUCGGGUUAAGUCCCAUAACGAGCGCAACCCCUAUCGUUAGUUGCCAGCGGGUCAUGCCGGGGACUCUAGCGAGACUGCCACCGUAAGGUGAGAGGAAGGUGGGGAUGACGUCAAAUCAGCACGGCCCUUAUGUCCAGGGCUACACACGUGUUACAAUGGCCGAUACAAAGGGCAGCUACCAGGCAACUGGAUGCUAAUCCCUAAAGUCGGUCCCAGUUCGGAUUGGAGUCUGCAACCCGACUCCAUGAAGUUGGAUUCGCUAGUAAUCGGAUAUCAGCAAUGAUCCGGUGAAUACGUUCCCGGGCCUU
RNAcentral lists this ribosomal RNA (852 nucleotides) under uncultured organism. RNAcentral describes it as "bacterial SSU rRNA". It matches the Rfam family "Bacterial small subunit ribosomal RNA", at positions 527 to 1382 of the family's 1533-position model. The record is from RNAcentral.